This 491-nucleotide long non-coding RNA is filed under the name Equus asinus (donkey). RNAcentral describes it as "lncRNA (ENSEASG00005027588.1)". The record is from RNAcentral. Lineage: Eukaryota; Metazoa; Chordata; Mammalia; Perissodactyla; Equidae.
GCAGCUGGAGUGUGCUCUUGGCUCUUAAUUAGCUCUGCAUUUUGAGUCUGACGUCUGGUGCCUGACUCCUAAAACGGUCUAUUGAAGGAAGAAUUAGAUUCCUGUGCUGGUCUGCAGAUCACACCAGGAGCGUCAUGGAACACUACACCUUGAAAUAAGCACAGAGGUUUGCUGCAUGUGGGCGCCCCAUAUCCAGCCAGGGAAAGCUGAGACUGUGCCCACAGAGAACUUGAGACAGCCUUUGCUCAAUGAACCACCAAUAUAGUCUCUGGGGAAAAAGAAAAAAUAAAAAUGCAGGGUUCAACUGCUGAUAUGAGAACCAACAGAGAGCCUUUUAAAAACCACAGAUGGGAAGGAAAGUGCUGCGUCAGUGGUUGUUGCUUUUGAGAUGGGCUGUAAGGAAAAUCUGUUUUCUAAGAACGGUGGCACCGACCUCAUUCCUAGCCUACCAACGCUGGAGACAAAACAGAGCUUAAGCUCAGUGAUCCCAG